Molecule: ribosomal RNA, 464 nt
Filed under: uncultured bacterium
Lineage: Bacteria
Description: partial 16S ribosomal RNA
Rfam family: Bacterial small subunit ribosomal RNA
Source: RNAcentral
GACGAACGCUGGCGGCGUGCUUAACACAUGCAAGUCGUACGGUAAGGCCCUUUCGGGGGUACACGAGUGGCGAACGGGUGAGUAACACGUGAGUAACCUGCCCACAACUUUGGGAUAACGCUAGGAAACUGGUGCUAAUACUGGAUAUGUGCUCCUGCUGCAUGGUGGGGGUUGGAAAGCUCCGGCGGUUGUGGAUGGACUCGCGGCCUAUCAGCUUGUUGGUGGGGUAGUGGCCUACCAAGGCGGCGACGGGUAGCCGGCCUGAGAGGGUGACCGGCCACAUUGGGCCUGAGAUACGGCCCAGCCUCCUACGGGAGGCAGCGGUGGGGAAUAUUGCACAAUGGGCGCAAGCCUGAUGCAGCAACGCCGCGUGCGGGAUGACGGCCUUCGGGUUGUAAACCGCUUUCAGCAGGGACGAAGCUUUUGUGACGGUACCUGCAGAAGAAGCACCGGCUAACUACGUG